AAUCAACGCUGGCGGCGUGCCUAACACAUGCAAGUCGAGCGCGAAAGGGGAGCAAUCCCCAAGUAGAGCGGCGAACGGGUGAGUAACGCGUGGGUAAUCUGCCUCCGAGUGGGGAACAACACCGGGAAACUGGUGCUAAUACCGCAUGACAUCGUUGGACCUUCGGAUCUGACGAUCAAAGACCGGGGACCGGCAAGGCCUGGCGCUUGGAGAGGAGCCCGCGUCCGAUUAGCAGUUGGUGGGGUAAGUGGCCCACCAAGGCUACGAUCGGUAGCCGGCCUGAGAGGGCGGACGGCCACACUGGGACUGAGACACGGCCCAGACUCCUACGGGAGGCAGCAGUGGGGAAUUUUCGUCAAUGGGCGAAAGCCUGACGAAGCAACGCCGCGUGGAGGAUGAAGGCCUCGGU
RNAcentral lists this ribosomal RNA (409 nucleotides) under uncultured bacterium. Its description in RNAcentral is "bacterial SSU rRNA". It matches the Rfam family "Bacterial small subunit ribosomal RNA", at positions 29 to 423 of the family's 1533-position model. The record is from RNAcentral.